UGGGGAUUGCACCCUACUUUGCUUCUUUAUGAUGUAUAUGGGUAAAAUAUCACAGUCUCCCAAGAAAAACAGUAUCUUUCCUCUAAGGGAUGGGUCUUGGUCUCUAGAAGGUUUUGCAAUAUAUGUCUGUGGAAUGGGAGCGUGGCAGUGAAGGGAGGCCAAGUGCAGAGAAACAGAAGAGACGGGGAAAUGCUAGGUUCACUAGCCAUUAGAAACAAUGGCAUAACAGCAACAGCUAUCACACCCAUACAAUGCUGGCAUCCUAUUGCUGACACAAGGAAAUUGGUGAUAUGGAUUGGAAAGAAACAGCAUGUAUACACUAUUACUUCUGGCAUACAUUGGCUUUUUAAGAGCACUCUCCUUUCAAGAGGAUCAAAGGAUUUCAUGUGCUUAUUUUGGGUGAGGAAAAGAACUGAGAACCAGAGAUCUCGGCUUGAGACUGUUAACAUACCAGGAGAAAAUACUGCAUUUAUACAGCAAGUUUAUCCGAAUUUGUGUUAGAUCGGGUCGCGGUAUAUCGGGUUAGAAGUGUACUAAAUUAAUAAAGAACCUCAUAAAUGUAGCCACCUCUGAAGUAGAGGGCAGCAGUGGGUACUAAGUACAUGGCAGUGGGUAGAGGCUGGCAAUGGGUACUAAGUACAUGGCCGAACAAUAUUCUUAUAAACUGCAACCAGCCAGUAGUAUGAGCAAUAUGCUCAUGCAUACAGUAUAAAUUAGGAGUAAAUCCAUUUAAGUUAAUGAUGUUUCACUGUUGCCACCUCAGCGUAAAUAAGAUGGAGAAUCAAGGCUCACACUGCCUGAUCAUACUCCCAUUGACUGACAUUAAAGGCAAAAAUUUCAUUGGGAGUAGAACUGUGCCCCAAAAACUCACAACAAAAAAUAAUACUCUUGCUUAAUUACAAGCUAUUUGCUUCAAAUACAGCCAAUGCAUGAGUUAGAAAGGAAAGAUGAAGGGUUAUUAAGGAGACAAAUCCGAUUAGUUUUCUUUUCUAAGUGACCUAUAACUGAAAAGCAGUUUGACCAAUUUCCUCCAGACUUUCUAUAAACAAUCUCCUUUGCCUUCAGAGAAAUAUGGCAAUAUUCAAGCCAAACCAUUUUUCCAAGCCAAAGUUACCGGGAGGCUAAAAUAGGCUUUAUAUUGGAAGCUGACCGCUGCCUUAGCUAUGGAGAGGUAAUUGUCCCUCCCACUUCCCCCCUUAACUAUAGUAUUCCAAUAAUAGUCUAUUGAAGUGGAUGCUUCAUUUAUGAAGGAAAAAAGCUUAACAUAUCUUUCAUUGCUGAUGCCUGAAUAUAUUAAAUUGCAAUAUAAAUAAAGUGAAAAAAGG
This is a long non-coding RNA of Trachemys scripta elegans, 1325 nucleotides long. RefSeq lists it as uncharacterized. Lineage: Eukaryota; Metazoa; Chordata; Testudines; Emydidae. The record is from RefSeq and is a predicted model, not a curated record. The transcript is spliced from 4 exons.